GGAAGCAGAACUCGAGUGGUUGAGUGUCUCCCUUUUAAGGAGAAAGUUCCGGUUCAAGUCCGGGUGUUUUCA
This 72-nucleotide transfer RNA is filed under the name Chroogomphus rutilus. RNAcentral's name for it is "tRNA-Lys". It matches the Rfam family "tRNA". Rfam says of the family: Transfer RNA (tRNA) molecules are approximately 80 nucleotides in length. Their secondary structure includes four short double-helical elements and three loops (D, anti-codon, and T loops). Further hydrogen bonds mediate the characteristic L-shaped molecular structure. tRNAs have two regions of fundamental functional importance: the anti-codon, which is responsible for specific mRNA codon recognition, and the 3' end, to which the tRNAs corresponding amino acid is attached (by aminoacyl-tRNA synthetases). tRNAs cope with the degeneracy of the genetic code in two manners: having more than one tRNA (with a specific anti-codon) for a particular amino acid; and 'wobble' base-pairing, i.e. permitting non-standard base-pairing at the 3rd anti-codon position. Lineage: Eukaryota; Fungi; Basidiomycota; Agaricomycetes; Boletales; Gomphidiaceae. The record is from RNAcentral.